CUUGUACAAUGCUCAGGACAGGCUGACAGUCAAUUAUCAGCAUCUUUCUCUCCGCAGAGCUCCUUUUUUGUAUCUACAUCCUCAAUUCCAAUUCCGGACUUGAAAGGGAGACCAUUUUUCCAGACAGUGAUUUCCUCCAAUAUCUCGUCUCCCCGUGUCUGUGUGUGUUUUUAACAGGCAGACCCAUGGGGUUACAGUCUUGCAAGCCUUGCAACUCCUGCCUGCAAAGUAAGGAGGAAUGCAGACCGGCUGGUGGCUGCUCGUGUGUGUGUGACGACUGGAGAUAUUGCUCUGAACACUGCUGUGACAUCUGCUGCCAGAUGUGUGUGGACGUGUUCUCUGGCUUGUGUUCAGGAGACUGCAGCUACACCUUCUGUACCCUCUGCCUCAGCCUGGCACAGAACUGUGUCUCAUUUUUUACCACCCAACAAACUGAAACAUCACAGGCACAGUAGGCUAUGAUGGUCCCAAACCGGCGUACCAAGUGAGCAUGAGACACACGUGACAAAACCCUAAAGAUGCACUGAUGUAAAGACACCAGCGGCUAUGGAGCCGAGCUAUCUGCUGCUGUCUAAUGAGGACGGAGAUGAGAAGCACUCAGACUUUGACAACGGGUGUGAAAGGAGCUUGUCUGCAGAGCGGCAGUGUGUGCGUGCACAUGUGGAUUUAACAAUAAUCUCAAGCUUAUCGCCGCUAUCGUGGCUGAGCAAAAGCUCUGUGAACAAAACAAGCCAUCCUGGGUGACGACAGGGACUGCACCCUACUUAACCCUCGUGUCGCCACCUUUCCAGCCCAAUGGUGCACCCUAUUUCAUGUGGAUGGAUUUCUUCCCUGUGUAUCCGGAUGUUUGUUUACAAGAUGGACAGCUACUUUAUUUGUGUUUUCCAGUACAGGACUCUUAAAGAGACAAACAGGAUUCCCGAACAUCAACCAGCGAAAGCAUUGCACUUUGCACAUCUGGAAGAUUAAACUCAAGUGUAGAAAUGGCCUCAUCCCGGCAUACAAGCAGUACUUCAAAGCACUCGUUAGAUGUCUGCAAGAUUGUUUUGCACUUUGAGGCAAACAAAAAUAUAAUUUGGUUGCGUGCACAGUGUACAAUCUGAUAUCUCUUUGUGAGAUAAGGGUGCCCGAGGACACAAGGUGCUAUUUGCUUCCACUGAAUUAGACCUUUUUUAUUAUCCUCCAUAAAAUUGCAAGUUUAUGGAAAUUUUAAUGAUUGAGUGAGCCAUGUCCCCGCAUCAAAAGGCGCUUGGAAUGAGGUCUUACAAGGAAAAUCUAACAACACGGAGAGUGUGAUGGGCUGCAUUGUGCUCCCUGACUGUACCCAUCUCUGCUACUGUUUUCUCCUCCUCUCAAUCCCUCUGGACUCUGCGGAGCAUUCAGUCUGUCUCAAAUUCGAAUCCCUUUCAAACUCAGAGGAUACGCGUGGCCUAGUUCACUCCUUUAACUGACCUCAUCCUCCCAGAAGUUUGUGUCUAUAUUUACUGUAUCUGCAGUAAAUCCUGGAGUGCAAAACUAUUUGAAUAAAUUUCACACACCCCAAUUGAGUGACUGAGUGUGGUUUCACUGUAUAGAUUUUUCAGCUUAUUUGCUUGAAAUAUAAAAGAGUAGAGGAUUGAAACUGUGAAGUCUAAUCUCAGAGGUUCAGGAGGAUCUCUGAUGUGAAUUGAAAUACUGUCUACAAGUGUUGCAAUAAGAUGAGUAAAGAUCAGGUAUAAUCGAAUGACUGCACUAUGAGUCAACAUUGCUCCUGAACUGCUGGGUAUGUGUACCUUUUUCCCUUCUGGGGAUAAGAAAAGCACUCUUUGUAUUUAUUACUCAAUACACACCAUGGUGU
This is a long non-coding RNA of Epinephelus moara (kelp grouper), 1837 nucleotides long. RefSeq lists it as uncharacterized. The record is from RefSeq and is a predicted model, not a curated record. The transcript is spliced from 4 exons. Lineage: Eukaryota; Metazoa; Chordata; Actinopteri; Perciformes; Serranidae.